UGAAUUAUUCAGGAUUAAGUGUUUAUGUGAUUAAGUUCUGUGAAUAUGGUUAUGUUCUGUGUACAAAAUGUGGUUAAGGGUCAAGGGUUGACCAGAUAAAUUAUAUCUGUAACAAACCCUAAGAAUAUAUUAAGAACAAUGUUCAGUUAGAAAACCCUAACGUCUGAUAAGAAACCCUAGAAAUCGGUUCUGGAAACCC
This 199-nucleotide long non-coding RNA is filed under the name Panax ginseng (ginseng). RNAcentral describes it as "long non-coding RNA (PGIN_LNC003184)". Lineage: Eukaryota; Viridiplantae; Streptophyta; Magnoliopsida; Apiales; Araliaceae. The record is from RNAcentral.